This 492-nucleotide ribosomal RNA is filed under the name uncultured bacterium. Its description in RNAcentral is "bacterial SSU rRNA". It matches the Rfam family "Bacterial small subunit ribosomal RNA", at positions 28 to 507 of the family's 1533-position model. The record is from RNAcentral.
GAUGAACGCUAGCUACAGGCUUAACACAUGCAAGUCGAGGGGAAACGACAUCGAAAGCUUGCUUUGGUGGGCGUCGACCGGCGCACGGGUGAGUAACGCGUAUCCAACCUGCCCGCCACUUGGGGGAUAACCUUGCGAAAGUAAGACUAAUACCCAAUGAUAUCCCACGAAGGCAUCCGAAUGGGAUUAAAGAUUUAUCGGUGAUGGAUGGGGAUGCGUCUGAUUAGCUUGUUGGCGGGGUAACGGCCCACCAAGGCUACGAUCAGUAGGGGUUCUGAGAGGAAGGUCCCCCACAUUGGAACUGAGACACGGUCCAAACUCCUACGGGAGGCAGCAGUGAGGAAUAUUGGUCAAUGGGCGAGAGCCUGAACCAGCCAAGUAGCGUGCAGGAUGGCGGCCCUAUGGGUUGUAAACUGCUUUUAUAAGGGAAUAAAGUGGGUCACGUGUGACUUUUUGCAUGUACCUUAUGAAUAAGGACCGGCUAAUUCCGUG